Molecule: long non-coding RNA, 215 nt
Filed under: Carica papaya (papaya)
Lineage: Eukaryota; Viridiplantae; Streptophyta; Magnoliopsida; Brassicales; Caricaceae
Description: long non-coding RNA (CPAP_LNC002071)
Source: RNAcentral
GCGGUGCCGCCAUAUUGAAAAAUUCUGCUGCUGGUAAAUUUUUAUUUUUUGACUUUUUUCGGUCAACUAAGACCUUCUAAUGUGUUUUCUCGCAAGGAUGGGUAUAAAAACGGUCGAAACUGGCCAAAACGGGUCGAAAACGGGCAGUCUGAGAAAAAUUGCCGUCGUGGGCAGCGGUGCCGCCGUGCUGGAAUUUUGAAAUUGGCUGAAAAAAG